RNAcentral lists this ribosomal RNA (497 nucleotides) under uncultured bacterium. RNAcentral describes it as "partial 16S ribosomal RNA". It matches the Rfam family "Bacterial small subunit ribosomal RNA", at positions 28 to 507 of the family's 1533-position model. The record is from RNAcentral.
GAUGAACGCUGGCGGCGUGCCUAAUACAUGCAAGUCGAGCGAACAGACGAGGAGCUUGCUCCUCUGACGUUAGCGGCGGACGGGUGAGUAACACGUGGAUAACCUACCUAUAAGACUGGGAUAACUUCGGGAAACCGGAGCUAAUACCGGAUAACAUGUUGAACCGCAUGGUUCAACAGUGAAAGACGGUCUUGCUGUCACUUAUAGAUGGAUCCGCGCCGCAUUAGCUAGUUGGUAAGGUAACGGCUUACCAAGGCAACGAUGCGUAGCCGACCUGAGAGGGUGAUCGGCCACACCGGAACUGAGACACGGUCCAGACUCCUACGGGAGGCAGCAGUAGGGAAUCUUCCGCAAAGGGCGAAAGCCUGACGGAGCAACGCCGCGUGAGUGAAGAAGGUCUUCGGAUCGUAAAACUCUGUUAUUAGGGAAGAACAAAUGUGUAAGUAACUAUGCACGUCUUGACGGUACCUAAUCAGAAAGCCACGGCUAACUACGUG